GUCGAACGCUGAARCACUCUGCUUGCAGAGUGURGAUGAGUGGCGAACGGGUGUGCACACGUGGGGAACCUGCCCAUAAGAGGGGGAUAACAUCCGGAAACGGGKGCUAAUACCGCAUAGGUGAUCAUAGCGCAUGCUUAGAUCAUUAAAGAUGGCUUCGGCUAUCGCUUAUGGAUGGCCCCGCGGCGUAUUAGCUAGUUGGUGAGGUAAUGGCUCACCAAGGCUGUGAUACGUAGCCGACCUGAGAGGGUGAUCGGCCACACUGGAACUGAGACACGGUCCAGACUCCUACGGGAGGCAGCAGUAGGGAAUCUUCCACAAUGGGCGAAAGCCUGAUGGAGCAAUACCGCGUGAGUGAAGAAGGUCUUCGGAUCGUAAAGCUCUGUUGUUAGAGAAGAACAAGAGGUGUAGUAACUGGCACCUCCUUGACGGUAUCUAACCAGAAAGUCACGGCUAACUACGUGCCAGCAGCCGCGGUAAUACGUAGGUGACAAGCGUUGUCCGGAUUUAUUGGGCGUAAAGCGAGMGCAGGCGGUCUUUUAAGUCUGAUGUGAAAGCCCACGGCUCAACCGUGGAGGGUCAUUGGAAACUGGAAGACUUGAAUGCAGAAGAGGAAAGUGGAAUUCCAUGUGUAGCGGUGAAAUGCGUAGAUAUAUGGAGGAACACCAGUGGCGAAGGCGACUUUCUGGUCUGUAAUUGACGCUGAGGCUCGAAAGCGUGGGGAGCGAACAGGAUUAGAUACCCUGGUAGUCCACGCCGUAACGAUGAGUGCUAGUGUUGGAGGGUUUCCGCCCUUCAGUGCUGGAGCUACGCAUUAGCACUCCGCUGGGGGAGUACGGC
This 840-nucleotide ribosomal RNA is filed under the name Alkalibacterium sp. In2-1-1. RNAcentral describes it as "bacterial SSU rRNA". It matches the Rfam family "Bacterial small subunit ribosomal RNA", at positions 61 to 886 of the family's 1533-position model. The record is from RNAcentral. Lineage: Bacteria; Bacillati; Bacillota; Bacilli; Lactobacillales; Carnobacteriaceae.